This 301-nucleotide ribosomal RNA is filed under the name uncultured bacterium. Its description in RNAcentral is "partial 16S ribosomal RNA". It matches the Rfam family "Bacterial small subunit ribosomal RNA", at positions 509 to 808 of the family's 1533-position model. The record is from RNAcentral.
CAGCAGCCGCGUAAUACGAAGGGGGCUAGCGUCGUUCGGAGUUACUGGGCGUAAAGCGCGCGUAGGCGGUUACUCAAGUCAGAGGUGAAAGCCCGGGGCUCAACCCCGGAACUGCCUUUGAAACUAGGUGACUAGAAUCUUGGAGAGGUGAGUGGAAUUGCGAGUGUAGAGGUGAAAUUCGUAGAUAUUCGCAGGAACACCAGUGGCGAAGGCGGCUCACUGGCUCGAUACUGACGCUGAGGUGCGAAAGCGUGGGGAGCAAACAGGAUUAGAUACCCCCGUAGUCCCUGUCUCUUAUACA